This 782-nucleotide ribosomal RNA is filed under the name uncultured Neocallimastigales. RNAcentral's name for it is "partial large subunit ribosomal RNA". It matches the Rfam family "Eukaryotic large subunit ribosomal RNA", at positions 22 to 644 of the family's 3401-position model. Lineage: Eukaryota; Fungi; Neocallimastigomycota; Neocallimastigomycetes; Neocallimastigales. The record is from RNAcentral.
GCGUCUAUAUACGUAUAGCAUAUCAAUAAGCGGAGGAAAAGAAACUAACUAGGAUUCCCUUAGUAACGGCGAGUGAAGCGGGAAGAGCUCAAAUUUGAAAUCUUCAAGGUUCUACCUUGACGAAUUGUAGUUUAAAGAAGUGUUUUCUGUUGGAGUUUUGGUAAAAGUUCUUUGGAAUAGGACAUCAUAGAGGGUGAGAAUCCCGUAUUUGACCAUUAUCUUCCAGCUUUGUGAUACACUUUCAAAGAGUCGGAUUGUUUGGGAAUGCAGUCCAAAAUGGGUGGUAAAUUUCAUCUAAAGCUAAAUAUUGGCGAGAGACCGAUAGCGAACAAGUACCGUGAGGGAAAGAUGAAAAGAACUUUGAAAAGAGAGUUAAACAGUACGUGAAAUUGUCAAAAGGGAAGCGUUUGACACCAGUGUUGUUUUUCCGAAAAUCAAUUACGAAUGGCUUGAUUUUGUGUUGUAUUGACCUUAUCAGCUUUCUUCACUUUUUUCGAGUCUUUCUUAAUGCACUUUUCGGUUAACAAGUCAACAUCAAUUUCUUUUGUUGUAAAAGAGUCAUUCGGAAGGUGGCUUUCUUUUCGGAGAAAGUGUUUAUAGCCCUAUGACUUCUACAAUCGGAGAGAUUGAGGUCUGCAGCGUAGAUCCUUCGGGGUUAGAUACACUUGUGCUAAGUUGUAGCUUUUCAUAGACAACUUGUUGACUAUGUUUAGUCUAUUGUAGGCUUACUCGCUUGACGCUAUUUUACCUACGCUUAGGAUGUUGACUGAUAUGUAGUCGUA